UUCUUCUUCUUCUUCUUCUUCUUAUAUUUUUUUUUCUCAUGUGACGUUGCUCGCUUGAAUUUUCUGUGUACGUCAUUGAAUUUCUAUAACAGGUUCAUGAUAGGCUUGUGGAUAUAAUUGCCAUGGAGAGAGAGAACUCGAGUUUGGAUGGUUAAGGACUUAAGGGUCACUAUAGUUUGUGAGCUGAUCGAUUCCAUCAUGUCUUUUGAUAAUUCCAGCGAGGCAUCUUAAGUCCUUUCAUCUAUGGGAAAUCCUAACCCUGAAAGCGCGCAAUUUGAAGCUGGCUGGAUUUGAAAUUCUGUGCGAAGUUCUCCCUGCUGAAUUGGUGGUGUUGGUUAUUAGUUGAGAAGUAACUUGGGAAUGUAUCUUCGGUUACUUUAUGAUACUAAUUUUAUAAAGGAAAAUAUGAUUAUUUUCCCCUCUAAAAUAUCGGUAAACUUUCAAGUUGCUCA
Asparagus officinalis (garden asparagus) is the source of this 452-nucleotide long non-coding RNA. RefSeq lists it as uncharacterized. The transcript has 2 exons. NCBI's taxonomy places the organism in Eukaryota, Viridiplantae, Streptophyta, Magnoliopsida, Asparagales, Asparagaceae. The record is from RefSeq and is a predicted model, not a curated record.